RNAcentral lists this ribosomal RNA (442 nucleotides) under Chironius fuscus. RNAcentral's name for it is "partial 12S ribosomal RNA". It matches the Rfam family "Microsporidia small subunit ribosomal RNA", at positions 752 to 1289 of the family's 1311-position model. Lineage: Eukaryota; Metazoa; Chordata; Lepidosauria; Squamata; Colubridae. The record is from RNAcentral.
CGCCAAAUAACUACGAGUAAAAACUUAAAAUUUAAAAGACUUGACGGUACCUCACAACAACCUAGAGGAGCCUGUCUAAUAACCGAUACCCCACGAUCAACCCAACCCUCCCUAGCCCAACAGUCUAUAUACCGCCGUCGCCAGCCUACCUUAUGAAAGAAACAAAGUAAGCCAAAUAGCCACACACUAACACGACAGGUCGAGGUGUAACUUAUGGGAGGGGCCAAGAUGGGCUACAUUUUCUAAUACAGAAAAUACGAAUUAAACCAUGAAAUAAGAAACUGAAGGCGGAUUUAGCAGUAUACUAAGAACAAGAUGCCUAGUCGAAACCAGCGCAAUGAGGUGCGUACACACCGCCCGUCAUCCCUGUCACUAACCAAAAAAAUUCAUAAACAAAUAACAAACAUUAAAACAGGGCAAGUCGUAACAAGGUAAGUGUACA